This 1372-nucleotide ribosomal RNA is filed under the name uncultured bacterium. RNAcentral describes it as "bacterial SSU rRNA". It matches the Rfam family "Bacterial small subunit ribosomal RNA", at positions 28 to 1381 of the family's 1533-position model. The record is from RNAcentral.
GAUGAACGCUGGCGGCGUGCCUAAUACAUGCAAGUCGAGCGAACGGACGAGAAGCUUGCUUCUCUGAUGUUAGCGGCGGACGGGUGAGUAACACGUGGAUAACCUACCUAUAAGACUGGGAUAACUUCGGGAAACCGGAGCUAAUACCGGAUAAUAUUUUGAACCGCAUGGUUCAAAAGUGAAAGACGGUCUUGCCGUCACUUAUAGAUGGAUCCGCGCUGCAUUAGCUAGUUGGUAAGGUAACGGCUUACCAAGGCAACGAUGCAUAGCCGACCUGAGAGGGUGAUCGGCCACACUGGAACUGAGACACGGUCCAGACUCCUACGGGAGGCAGCAGUAGGGAAUCUUCCGCAAUGGGCGAAAGCCUGACGGAGCAACGCCGCGUGAGUGAUGAAGGUCUUCGGAUCGUAAAACUCUGUUAUUAGGGAAGAACAUAUGUGUAAGUAACUGUGCACAUCUUGACGGUACCUAAUCAGAAAGCCACGGCUAACUACGUGCCAGCAGCCGCGGUAAUACGUAGGUGGCAAGCGUUAUCCGGAAUUAUUGGGCGUAAAGCGCGCGUAGGCGGUUUUUUAAGUCUGAUGUGAAAGCCCACGGCUCAACCGUGGAGGGUCAUUGGAAACUGGAAAACUUGAGUGCAGAAGAGGAAAGUGGAAUUCCAUGUGUAGCGGUGAAAUGCGCAGAGAUAUGGAGGAACACCAGUGGCGAAGGCGACUUCCUGGUCUGUAACUGACGCUGAUGUGCGAAAGCGUGGGGAUCAAACAGGAUUAGAUACCCUGGUAGUCCACGCCGUAAACGAUGAGUGCUAAGUGUUAGGGGGUUUCCGCCCCUUAGUGCUGCAGCUAACGCAUUAAGCACUCCGCCUGGGGAGUACGACCGCAAGGUUGAAACUCAAAGGAAUUGACGGGGACCCGCACAAGCGGUGGAGCAUGUGGUUUAAUUCGAAGCAACGCGAAGAACCUUACCAAAUCUUGACAUCCUUUGACAACUCUAGAGAUAGAGCCUUCCCCUUCGGGGGACAAAGUGACAGGUGGUGCAUGGUUGUCGUCAGCUCGUGUCGUGAGAUGUUGGGUUAAGUCCCGCAACGAGCGCAACCCUUAAGCUUAGUUGCCAUCAUUAAGUUGGGCACUCUAAGUUGACUGCCGGUGACAAACCGGAGGAAGGUGGGGAUGACGUCAAAUCAUCAUGCCCCUUAUGAUUUGGGCUACACACGUGCUACAAUGGACAAUACAAAGGGCAGCGAAACCGCGAGGUCAAGCAAAUCCCAUAAAGUUGUUCUCAGUUCGGAUUGUAGUCUGCAACUCGACUACAUGAAGCUGGAAUCGCUAGUAAUCGUAGAUCAGCAUGCUACGGUGAAUACGUUCCCGGGUCU